GAUGAACGCUGGCGGCGUGCCUAAUACAUGCAAGUCGAGCGAACGGACGAGAAUCUUGCUUCUCUGAUGUUAGCGGCGGACGGGGGAGUAACACGUGGAUAACCUACCUAUAAGACUGGGAUAACUUCGGGAAACCGUAGCUUAUACCGGAUAAUAUUUUGAACCGCAUGGUUCAAAAGUGAAAGACGGUCUUGCUGUCACUUAUAGAUGGAUCCGCGCUGCAUUAGCUAGUUGGUAAGGUAACGGCUUACCAAGGCAACGAUGCAUAGCCGACCGGAGAGGGUGAUAGGCGACACUGGAACUGAGACGGGGUCCAGACUACUACGGGAGGCAGCAGUAGGGAAUCUUCGGCAAUGGGCGAAAGCCUGACGGAGCAACGGCGCGUGAGUGAUGAAGGUCGUCGGAUCGUAAAACUCUGUUAUUAGGGAAGAACAUAUGUGUAAGUAACUGUGCACUUCUUGACGGUAACUAAUCAGAAAGCCACGGCUAACUACGUG
RNAcentral lists this ribosomal RNA (497 nucleotides) under uncultured bacterium. RNAcentral describes it as "partial 16S ribosomal RNA". It matches the Rfam family "Bacterial small subunit ribosomal RNA", at positions 28 to 507 of the family's 1533-position model. The record is from RNAcentral.